RNAcentral lists this ribosomal RNA (253 nucleotides) under uncultured bacterium. RNAcentral describes it as "partial 16S ribosomal RNA". It matches the Rfam family "Bacterial small subunit ribosomal RNA", at positions 524 to 776 of the family's 1533-position model. The record is from RNAcentral.
UACGUAGGGGGCAAGCGUUAUCCGGAUUUACUGGGUGUAAAGGGAGCGUAGACGGCGAUGCAAGCCAGAUGUGAAAGCCCGGGGCUCAACCCCGGGACUGCAUUUGGAACUGUAUAGCUAGAGUGUCGGAGAGGCAGGCGGAAUUCCUAGUGUAGCGGUGAAAUGCGUAGAUAUUAGGAGGAACACCAGUGGCGAAGGCGGCCUGCUGGACGAUAACUGACGUUGAGGCUCGAAAGCGUGGGGAGCAAACAGG